AGCAGUCGCCGCGGUAAGACAGAGGAUGCAAGCGUUAUCCGGAAUGAUUGGGCGUAAAGCGUCUGUAGGUGGCUUUUCAAGUCCGCCGUCAAAUCCCAGGGCUCAACCCUGGACAGGCGGUGGAAACUACCAAGCUGGAGUACGGUAGGGGCAGAGGGAAUUUCCAGAGGAGCGGUGAAAUGCGUUGAGAUCGAAAAGAACACCAACAGCGAAAGCACUCUGCUGGGACGACACUGACACUAAGAGACGAAAGCUAGGGGAGCAAAUGGGAUUAGAUACCCCUGUAGUCCCUGUCUCUUAUAC
This 303-nucleotide ribosomal RNA is filed under the name uncultured bacterium. RNAcentral describes it as "partial 16S ribosomal RNA". It matches the Rfam family "Bacterial small subunit ribosomal RNA", at positions 507 to 807 of the family's 1533-position model. The record is from RNAcentral.